Molecule: long non-coding RNA, 1510 nt
Organism: Hyaena hyaena (striped hyena)
Lineage: Eukaryota; Metazoa; Chordata; Mammalia; Carnivora; Hyaenidae
Exons: 3
Source: RefSeq, a predicted model, not a curated record
UUAAUUCCUCCUUUCUUCACCAGAAAGGCUCUCAAGUUCCAUCCUCAGUUAUGCCAUGGAAAUGCUUAAAAAUAUAAAGCUGAUUUGUUUACAAAUUGACUUUCUCCUCUUCAAAAUGCCACAGCUAAACAUUUUCACUUUGAAACCAAUGGUCACAUACACAUUUUUCUCCUGAAAUUCUGGCGCAGUUUUUGUCUUCAUGAUAUUGUGCUAACUGGCUGGCCCUGAGGUCACUGAACUCAUUUUCCUCAACGUCCAAAAUCAAGAUGAGAACAAAAUAUACUCUAGUGUCUUUGUGGGCAAAGGAUAAAGACAGAUACGAUAAGAAAUCUCUGUAACCGAGUCGUUAUUUCGAUGAUGUUUGACAUGACUCCAUUCCAACUUCAGUUUCUAUCACAGCCAGGUGAUGGGCAUUGUCCACUCCUGAGGAAGGGGUAAAUCCACACGGAACGUAUCCUAUCAUCUCAUACCGGGACUCAGUAGUAGCAGUAUGGCAGCCCCUACAGGGCCCACUUGUUGGCUGAUGCAGCACUUUUUGAAGUGGUGGGAGAGGCAACGUCCUAACCUUCCAGCUAAGGGCAACAGCACAGCCUGGGUGAGGUGCUGGAAGCGAGCACCCAGAAGCAAAAGAAAGGGUGAAGCACGUUCCUGUUCAAGUUGACUUAAAGAAUGAGUUAACCAUCAUACAAAAUUAUUGUUCGUUGGUAGCAACUCAAAUGGAGAGUCUCCUAUUUAUAAACGAUUAUGAAUUUUCACCGGACACAAACUCAGGUGUAAGGACACUUCCUUUGGUUUCCUAUAAUGGAACUUAAUUUCUAUCUGAUGUCUCUCUUCUACUCGGCUGCAGAAAAUUUAAUCUUGCCAAUCCAAGGUAAAUGUAGUCACCUAAGAAUUUUUUCAGACCUAUCUCCCUCCCCAGGGAGGGUUCAUUUUGUCCAUGUGGAGAUGGUGAGACAUUUGGGCAUUGGUGAAAACAGAUCACCUAGUUGUUGGUCGUGGUUAUUUUCUAGGACAGCAUUAUCUGAAAGUAAUAGAUCUUUUUGCAGUCCCUGCCAACAUGGUCCACAGCGCAUCCGUCGCAACGCCAUCCCCCUUCUCACCUAGGAUCCUACACAUCCACAAGUGUGUGUGAACUACCGAGAGCGGUAGCCUUCUUUCCCUCAACUUAUCUGCGCCCUCUAUUGAUUGCACAGGGAAGGUGGGCUGCCCACCUGCACCUCUAGUAGUUUUCUCAGUCUACCACUGCAUUCUUUCACUGCUCCCUUUCCAUUGUAGUACAAAGGACAUUAGAGAGAAUACAGACUACAGUGCCUCCUGGUAGGAGAGUGCAAAUGCUCACCUCCACCCUCUGGAGACUCUGAUUCUAUCAAGGUUCAGCCCACACAGAGGACACAGGGAUAACUACAUGUAUAUUAGCUUCCAGCUUUCUGUCUUCUCCUUCACCCAGCAUUUUUAUUAGAACGGGACAAGAAAGGGGCACCCGGGUGGCUUAGACGUUUAAGCGUCUGAC